RNAcentral lists this ribosomal RNA (232 nucleotides) under uncultured bacterium. RNAcentral describes it as "partial 16S ribosomal RNA". It matches the Rfam family "Bacterial small subunit ribosomal RNA", at positions 99 to 334 of the family's 1533-position model. The record is from RNAcentral.
CGGACGGGUGAGUAAUGUCUGGGAAACUGCCUGAUGGAGGGGGGUAACUACUGGAAACGGUAGCUAAUACCGCAUAACGCCGCAAGACCAAAGAGGGGGACCUUCGGGCCUCUUGCCAUCGGAUGUGCCCAGAUGGGAUUAGCUAGUAGGUGGGGUAAAGGCUCACCUAGGCGACGAUCCCUAGCUGGUCUGAGAGGAUGACCAGCCACACUGGAACUGAGACACGGUCCAG